UGGCAGGUUCAGUCUUGGUCCAGCCGGCCACCAGCUCGAGUGAGUGGGAACCCGGAAAGUUUAUGAAACCUGGAUGGCUUGAGUGGGAACCCUGAACAUUACUGAAACCACUUGGACAGCUUGAGUUAAUAGGAACCAAAAGAUUCCGGAAAUAUGGACAGCGUGUGAGUGAGAAACAGGAAGAUUCCUGAAACUUGGUCAGUCUUAGCGAGUUAAAACUGAUAAGAUUCGUGAAACCUGAAAAAAAGGCGAGGCAGUGUCACCCCGAACACUGCGGGCGUUCAUGCAGCAGUGAGCGACGCUCCAUCGGUGGUUAACAGUCGUGUUGCAUAACUCUUCCUUCACGGUAUCAAACUCCCACGGUGCUCAGUGAAUUCGUAUUACCGUCAAGUGUUGCUCGCCUACUGCUACGAUGUAGCUGACUACUCUGCCAAAUAGUUGUGUAGUGCGUGUUUAGUGACUACCUGGCCCCCGCCUCUCACGAGAUAGUCAACUAAAGCUAUCACGAGAUAGUCAACUGAAGCCAGGUGUAAACUUAACUUUAUCCACCGAGAUAACACCAGUGGGACAAGAAAGGGGUUAAAAACAACCCGAUCUGGUUACUUACAGCCCAGUGUUGCCACCAGGUCUUCAAGGUCAAGAGUUCGUACUGUAGCACUCAGGAGGACUUGCAGGUAUACGCAGGUCACCAGACAAGGAUAUCACAUCACCAAUAGAGCACCUACCGUACCCAUAAUACACCUGUGUAAGAAUAUCAUCAUCAGUUAAGCUACUCAAAUAGCAGCCUUACUGCCACUGUGUGUAAGGGUCACCAAGCUACAAGGUCACCAUGAGAGUAGCAAUCAUCUCCGCGCUGAUUCAGCUGCUCACCAUCACUUCUUCAAUAGGUAAGUGGGAGAUCCAGGGAGUGUAAGACCCUCACAGACAGGUGAGUGUAAGACCCUCACAGACAGGUGAGUGUAAGACCCUCACAGACAGGUGAGUGUGAGACCCUCACAAACAGGUGAGUGUAAGACCCUCACAAACAGGUGAGUGUAAGACCCUCACAAACAGGUGAGUGUAAGACCCUCACAAACAGGUGAGUGUAAGACCCUCACAAACAGGUGAGUGUAAGACCCUCACAAACAGGUGAGUGUAAGACCCUCACAGACAGGUGAGUGUAAGACCCUCACAAACAGGUGAGUGUAAGACCCUCACAGACAGGUGAGUGUAAGACCCUCACAGACAGGUGAGUGUAAGACCCUCACAGACAGGUGAGUGUAAGACCGUCGCAAAUAGGUGAGUGUAAGUCCCUCUCAAACAGGUGAGUGUAAGACCGUCACAAACAAGUUGAGUGUAAGACCGUCACAAACAAGUUGAGUGUAAGAUCGUCACAAACAAGUUGAGUGUAAGACCGUCACAAACAAGUUGAGUAUAAGACCGUCACAAACAGGUUGAGUGUAAGACCGUCACAAGCAAGCUGAGUGUAAGACCGUCACAAACAAGUUGAGUAUAAGACCGUCACAAACAAGCUGAGUGUAAGACCGUCACAAACAGGCUGAGUGUAAGACCGUCACAAACAAGUUGAGUAUAAGACCGUCAAAAACAAGUUGAGUGUAAGACCGUCACAAACAGGUUGAGUGUAAGACCGUCACAAACAGGUUGAGUGUAAGACCGUCACAAACAGGUUGAGUGUAAGACCGUCACAAACAAGUUGAGUGUAAGACCGUCACAAACAGGUUGAGUGUAAGACCGUCACAAACAGGUUGAGUGUAAGGCCGUCAACAACCUGAGUGUGGUAUCCAGAGAGAGAGAGGGUGGGGUGGGUAGGCAGGUGCAUGUAUGUCAGAGUACACUUGUGGUAGUCACACAGGUGAGAGACUAACAUAGUUACCUGGGUAGUAUUAUUGUCAUGUAUCUUGCUAGCAAUAUCUCUCAACAAUGCUGAAGUUUGUGUUGAUAGAAAUACUGUAUUGCAACACUGGCGUCUUGGACAAGGAAAACACUUACCUUUCGUAAAUCGUUCCUUGUGAACUAUCAUGUUCAAGGUGUGAACUGUUAUGUUCGUCGUGUGUACUGCCAUGUUCACCGUGUGUACUGCCAUGUUCACCGUGUGAACUGUCAUGUUCACCGUGUGUACUGUCAUUCGCCCUGUGUAAUGUUAUGUUCACUAUAUAUACUGUCAUGUUCACGGUAUGUACUGUCAUGUUCACCGUGUGUACUGUCAUGUUCACCGUGUGUACUGUCAUGUUCAUAGAAGGUGGCACUUAAUGCCAUAGAAGGUGGCACUUAAUGCCGUAGAAGGUGGGACUUAAUGCCGUAGAAGGUGGCACUUAAUGCCAUAGAAAGUGGCACUUAAUGCCGUAGAAGGUGGCACUUAAUUACAUAGAAGGUGGCACUUAAUGCCGUAGAAGGUGGCACUUAAUGCCGUAGAAGGUGGUACUUAAUACCGCAGAUGGCUCUUAAUGCCGUAGAAGGUAACACUUAAUGCCGUAAAGGUAACACUUAAUGCCGUAAAGGUAACACUUAAUGCCGUAGAAGGUAACACUUAAUGCCGUAGAAGGUGGCACUUAAUGCCGUAGAAGGUAACACUUAAUGCCGUAGAAGGUAACACUUAAUGCCGUAAAGGUAACACUUAAUGCCGUAGAAGGUAACACUUAAUGCCGUAAAGGCAACAAUUAUGCCGUAGAAGGUAACACUUAAUGCCGUAGCAGGCGGCAGGUUGCCCACACUUGGUGUAGUAGUUGUGUGAGGCAGGAGCGACCUGCUCUCAUAGGAAGACUAGUUGUGAGGCAGGAGCGACCUGCUCUCAUAGGAAGACUGGUUGUGUGAGGCAGGAGCGACCCGCUCUCAUAGGAAGACUGGUUGUGUGAGGCAGGAGCGACCUGCUCUCAUAGGAAGACUAGUUGUGUGAGGCAGGAGCGACCUGCUCUCAUAGGAAGACUAGUUGUGUGAGGCAGGAGCGAACUGCUCUCAUAGGAAGACUAGUUGUGUGAGGCAGGAGCGACCUGCUCUCAUAGGAAGACUAGUUGUGUGAGGCAGGAGCGACCUGCUCUCAUAGAAAGACUGGUUGUGUGAGGCAGGAGCGACCUCCUCUCAUAGGAAGACUGGUUGUGUGAGGCAGGAGCGACCUGCUUUCAUAGGAAGACUGGUUGUGUGAGGCAGGAGCGACCUGCUCUCAUAGGAACACUUGAAAGACUACACUUGAUGAAAUACAUAUAACCAAGGAGGAGGUGAAGAAGCUGCUGUGCGAACUUGACACCUCAAAGGCGGUGGGACCAGACAACAUCUCUCCGUGGGUCCUUAAAGAGGGAGCAGAGAUAUUGUGUGUACCAUUAACAAAGAUCUUCAACACAUCAUUUGAAACUGGGCAACUCCCCGAGGUAUGGAAGAUGGCAAAUGUAGUCCCAAUUUUUAAAAAGGGAGACAGACAUGAGGCACUAAUCUACAGACCUGUAUCACUAACGUGUAUAGUAUGCAAGGUCAUGGAGAAGAUCAUCAGGAGAGUGGUGGAGCACCUGGAAAGAAACAAGUGUAUAAUUGACAACCAGCACGGUUUCAGGGAAGGAAAAUCCUGUGUCACAAACCUACUAGAGUUUUAUGAUAAGGUGACAGAAGUAAGACAAGAGAGAGAGGGGUGGAUCGACUGCAUUUUUUUGGACUGCAAGAAGGCCUUCGACACAGUUCCUCACAAGAGGUUACUGCAAAAGCUAGAGGAUCAGGCACACAUAACAGGAAAGGCACUGCAAUGAAUCAGAGAAUACCUGACAGGGAGGCAACAACGAGUCAUGGUACGUGACGAGGUGUCAGAGUGGGCGCCUGUGACAAGCGGGGUUCCACAGGGGUCAGUCCUAGGACCUGUGCUGUUCUUGGUAUAUGUGAACGACAUAACGGAAGGGAUAGACUCAGAAGUGUCCUUGUUUGCAGAUGAUGUGAAGUUAAUGAGAAGAAUAAAAUCGGAUGAGGAUCAGGCAGGAUUACAAAGAGACCUGGACAGGCUACAAGCCUGGUCCAGUAACUGGCUCCUUGAGUUUAACCCUGCCAAAUGCAAAGUCAUGAAGAUUGGGGAAGGGCAAAGAAGACCGCAGACACAAUAUAGUUUAGAUGGCCAAAGACUGCAAACUUCAUUCAAGGAAAAAUAUCUGGGGGUGAGUAUAACACCGAGCAUAUCUCCUGAGGCGCACAUCAAUCAGAUAACUGCUGCAGCAUACGGGCGCUGGCAAACCUACGGAUAGCGUUCCGAUACCUCAGCAAGGAUUCGUUCAAGACUCUGUAUACCAUUUACGUCAGGCCCAUACUGGAGUAUGCAGCACCAGUUUGGAAUCCACUUCUAGUCAAGCACGUCAAGAAAUUAGAGAAGGUGCAAAGGUUUGCAACAAGACUAGUCCCAGAGCUACGGGGAUUGUCCUACGAAGAAAGGUUGAGGGAAAUCGGCCUGACGACACUGGAGGACAGGAGGGUCAGGGGAGACAUGAUAACGACAUAUAAAAUACUGCGCGGAAUAGACAAGGUGGACAAAGACGGGAUGUUCCAGAGAUGGGACACAGACACAAGAGGUCACAAUUGGAAGUUGAAGACUCAGAUGAAUCAGUCAUAGAGUAGUCAAGCCGUGGAAUGGCCUAGAAAGUGAAGUAGUGGAGGCGGGAACCAUACAUAGUUUUAAGGCGAGGUAUGAUAAAGCUCAUGGAGCAGGAAGAGAGAGGACCUAGUAGCAAUCAGUGAAGAGGCGGGCCCAGGAGCUGUGACUUGACCCCUGCAACCACAAAUAGGUGAGUACAAAUAGGUGAGUACAAAGAAGACUUCUUAGUACCUGUAACAGGAACGUCAAGAAGCUACAGUUAUAACUUGAGAAAAAAAAGUGGAGUCUUAGGUACUGUAUAGAAGAAAAGAAUCUCUUGUAAAUAUCAUGUUGUGGGUAUUAUGUACCAUUAUUAUGAUACAAUGUAACAUGUUGUGGGUAUUAUGUACCAUUAUUAUGAUACAAUGUAACAUGUUGUGGGUAUUAUGUAACAUUAUUAUGGUACAGUAACAUGUUGUGGGUAUUAUGUACCAUUAUUAUGAUACAAUGUAACAUGUUGUGGGUAUUAUGUACCAUUAUUAUGAUACAGUAACAUGUUGUGGGUAUUAUGUACCAUUAUUAUGAUACAAUGUAACAUGUUGUGGGUAUUAUGUACCAUUAUUAUGGUACAGUGUAACAUGUUGUGGGUAUUAUGUACCAUUAUUAUGGUACAGUGUAACAUGUUGUGGGUAUUAUGUACCAUUAUUAUGGUACAAUACAAUGUAACAUGUUGUGGGUAUUAUGUAGAUGAAUGGUUCAGAGAACCGACAUGUUGAUAAAUUAGACACAUGUGCAACUCUUGGGUAUCUUUAUUGAGGAAACGUUUCGCCACACAGUGGCUUCAUCAGUCCAUACGUAGGAGAAACUUGAA
This is a non-coding RNA of Cherax quadricarinatus, 5408 nucleotides long. The record is from RefSeq and is a predicted model, not a curated record. NCBI's taxonomy places the organism in Eukaryota, Metazoa, Arthropoda, Malacostraca, Decapoda, Parastacidae.